AUACGGAGGGUGCAAGCGUUAAUCGGAAUUACUGGGCGUAAAGCGCGCGUAGGCGGUCAUGUAAGUCGGGUGUGAAAUCCCCGGGCUCAACCUGGGAACUGCAUUCGAUACUGUAUGACUUGAGUUUGGUAGAGGGGAUUGGAAUUCCACAUGUAGCGGUGAAAUGCGUAGAUAUGUGGAGGAACACCAGUGGCGAAGGCGACUCCCUGGCCCAAAACUGACGCUGAGGUGCGAAAGCGUGGGUAGCAAACAGGAUUAGAAACCCUAGUAGUCC
This 274-nucleotide ribosomal RNA is filed under the name uncultured bacterium. RNAcentral describes it as "partial 16S ribosomal RNA". It matches the Rfam family "Bacterial small subunit ribosomal RNA", at positions 523 to 796 of the family's 1533-position model. The record is from RNAcentral.